AUUGAACGCUGGCGGCAGGCCUAACACAUGCAAGUCGAACGGUAACAGAAAGCAGCUUGCUGCUUUGCUGACGAGUGGCGGACGGGUGAGUAAUGUCUGGGAAACUGCCUGAUGGAGGGGGAUAACUACUGGAAACGGUAGCUAAUACCGCAUAACGUCGCAAGACCAAAGAGGGGGACCUUCGGGCCUCUUGCCAUCGGAUGUGCCCAGAUGGGAUUAGCUAGUAGGUGGGGUAACGGCUCACCUAGGCGACGAUCCCUAGCUGGUCUGAGAGGAUGACCCCCCACCCGGAACCUGAGACCGGGUCCAGCCCCCCACGGGGGGCCGCGGUGGGAAAUUUUGCCAAAGGGGGGAAAGCCUGAUGGCGCCACGCCGGGUGUAUGAAAAGGGCUUUCGGUUUGUAAAGUCCUUUCAGGGGGGGGAAGGGGGGUAAAGUUAAAACCUUUUCCCAUUGCCUUUCCCCGCAAAAAAGGCCCCGGCUACCCCCGU
This 489-nucleotide ribosomal RNA is filed under the name uncultured bacterium. RNAcentral describes it as "partial 16S ribosomal RNA". It matches the Rfam family "Bacterial small subunit ribosomal RNA", at positions 30 to 506 of the family's 1533-position model. The record is from RNAcentral.